UACAGAGACUGCAAGCGUUAUUCGGAUUCACUGGGCGUAAAGGGUGCGCAGGCGGCCGUGUGUGUGAGGCGUGAAAGCCCGACGCUUAACGUCGGAAUUGCACCUCAAACUACAUGGCUAGAGCAUUGGAGAGGGUAGCGGAAUUCACGGUGUAGCAGUGAAAUGCGUAGAUAUCGUGAGGAACACCAGAGGCGAAGGCGGCUACCUGGACAAUUGCUGACGCUCAGGCACGAAAGCGUGGGGAGCAAAAGGG
This 253-nucleotide ribosomal RNA is filed under the name uncultured bacterium. RNAcentral's name for it is "partial 16S ribosomal RNA". It matches the Rfam family "Bacterial small subunit ribosomal RNA", at positions 524 to 776 of the family's 1533-position model. The record is from RNAcentral.